This is a long non-coding RNA of Ostrinia furnacalis (Asian corn borer), 343 nucleotides long. RefSeq lists it as uncharacterized. The transcript is spliced from 3 exons. Lineage: Eukaryota; Metazoa; Arthropoda; Insecta; Lepidoptera; Crambidae. The record is from RefSeq and is a predicted model, not a curated record.
GCCUACACCUAUUCAACGCAAUGUUAAAUGCGCCAUCGUGGAACCUCCAAAAACAUCUAACCGUGUCUCUCCCCCGCAGUGCCUUGCCCAAGUCAAGAAAGAAUCGGAGUCGAGCAAGCUGAAGCUGAAGCCGAAGCGGCGCCAUCCGACACCGUCCAGAGACCGCUGGAAUUCGUGCCUUAUUGUCAACGAUGAGUGCUGAAGUGCUGUGACUUUGGGAAGGGGAUCUGAGCUGACGCUGCUGCACCUGUUGAUGCUGUUUGCGGUUUCGUGCUGAUAUGCUGUGACUGGGAAGGGAUCUCAGCUGACGCUGCUGCACCUGCUGUUGCUGUUUGCGGUUUCG